UCCAGACUCCUACGGGAGGCAGCAGUGGGGAAUAUUGGGCAAUGGGCGCAAGCCUGACCCAGCAACGCCGCGUGAAGGAAGAAGGCUUUCGGGUUGUAAACUUCUUUUAAGAGGGAAGAGUAGAAGACGGUACCUCUUGAAUAAGCCACGGCUAACUACGUGCCAGCAGCCGCGGUAAUACGGAGGAUGCGAGCGUUAUCCGGAUUUAUUGGGUUUAAAGGGUGCGUAGGCGGGAUGCCAAGUCAGCGGUAAAAAUGCGGUGCUCAACGCCGUCGAGCCGUUGAAACUGGCGUUCUUGAGUGGGCGAGAAGUAUGCGGAAUGCGUGGUGUAGCGGUGAAAUGCAUAGAUAUCACGCAGAACUCCGAUCGCGAAGGCAGCCUACCGGCGCGCAACUGACGCUCAUGCACGAAAGCGUGGGUAUCGAACAGGAUUAGAUACCCGUGUA
This 446-nucleotide ribosomal RNA is filed under the name uncultured bacterium. RNAcentral's name for it is "partial 16S ribosomal RNA". It matches the Rfam family "Bacterial small subunit ribosomal RNA", at positions 330 to 792 of the family's 1533-position model. The record is from RNAcentral.